This 482-nucleotide ribosomal RNA is filed under the name uncultured bacterium. RNAcentral describes it as "partial 16S ribosomal RNA". It matches the Rfam family "Bacterial small subunit ribosomal RNA", at positions 28 to 507 of the family's 1533-position model. The record is from RNAcentral.
GACGAACGCUGGCGGCGUGCUUAACACAUGCCAGUCGAACGAUGAAGAAGAGAAACGCGAACUUCGGUUCAAAUUUCACUUCGGAUUAGUGGCAGACGGGUGAGUAACGCGUGAGCAACCUACCUCUUACAAAGGGAUAGCCUCGGGAAACCGUGAUUAAUACCAUAUGACACAUUCAUAAGGCAUCUUAAGAAUGUUAAAGCUACGGCGGUAAGAGAUGGGCUCGCGUCCCAUUAGCUAGUUGGUGAGGUAACGGCCCACCAAGGCGACGAUGGGUAACCGGCCUGAGAGGGUGAACGGUCACAUUGGAACUGAGACACGGUCCAAACUCCUACGGGAGGCAGCAGUGGGGAAUAUUGCACAAUGGAGGGAACUCUGAUGCAGCGACGCCGCGUGAGCGAUGAAGGAAUUCGUGUCGUAAAGCUCUGUUCUAUGGGAAGAAAAGGACUGUACCAUAGGAGAAAGCCCCGGCUAAAUACGUG